AGGAAGUGGCAGAGUGGUUAUGUGACUGGCUUGAAACCAGUGCAUGGGGGUUCAAUUCCUCCCUUCCUC
Molecule: transfer RNA, 69 nt
Filed under: Vanmanenia pingchowensis
Lineage: Eukaryota; Metazoa; Chordata; Actinopteri; Cypriniformes; Gastromyzontidae
Description: tRNA-Ser
Rfam family: tRNA
About the family: Transfer RNA (tRNA) molecules are approximately 80 nucleotides in length. Their secondary structure includes four short double-helical elements and three loops (D, anti-codon, and T loops). Further hydrogen bonds mediate the characteristic L-shaped molecular structure. tRNAs have two regions of fundamental functional importance: the anti-codon, which is responsible for specific mRNA codon recognition, and the 3' end, to which the tRNAs corresponding amino acid is attached (by aminoacyl-tRNA synthetases). tRNAs cope with the degeneracy of the genetic code in two manners: having more than one tRNA (with a specific anti-codon) for a particular amino acid; and 'wobble' base-pairing, i.e. permitting non-standard base-pairing at the 3rd anti-codon position.
Source: RNAcentral